ACUCAAAGGAAUUGACGGGGGCCCACACAAGCGGUGGAGCAUGUGGCUUAAUUCGAGGCUACGCGCAAAACCUUAUCCCGGGCUUGACAUGCACGGAUUAGUCGGCGGAAACGCCGAUGACGCCGCGAGGUGGAACGUGCACAGGUGCUGCAUGGCUGUCGUCAGCUCGUGUCGCGAGAUGUUGGGUUCAGUCCCAUAACGAGCGAAACCCCUGUGGCCAGUUGCCAGCGCGUCACGGCGGGCACUCUGGCCAGACUGCCGGCGUCAAGCCGGAGGAAGGCGGGGACGACGUCAAGUCCUCAUGGCCCUUAUGCCCGGGGCCGCACACGUGCUACAAUGGGCCGGACAGAGCGUCGCGAAGCCGCAAGGCCGAGCCAAUCGCAAAAACCGGCCCCCAGUUCGGAUUGCGGGCUGCAACCCGCCCGCAUGAAGCCGGAAUCGCUAGUAAUCGCGGAUCAGCACUGCCGCGGUGAAUGCGUACCUGGGCCUUGUACACACCGCCCGU
Molecule: ribosomal RNA, 505 nt
Filed under: uncultured bacterium
Lineage: Bacteria
Description: partial 16S ribosomal RNA
Rfam family: Bacterial small subunit ribosomal RNA
Source: RNAcentral